Molecule: ribosomal RNA, 464 nt
Filed under: uncultured bacterium
Lineage: Bacteria
Description: partial 16S ribosomal RNA
Rfam family: Bacterial small subunit ribosomal RNA
Source: RNAcentral
CUACGGGGCGCUGCAGCUAAGAAUCUUCCGCAAUGGACGAAAGUCUGACGGAGCGACGCCGCGUGUACGAAGAAGGCCUAACGGUUGUAAAGUACUUUUCUUGUGGAGGAAUAAUGAGUGUAGGGAAUGACACUCAGAUGACGUUAAACUUGGAAUAAGCCCCGGCUAAUUACGUGCCAGCAGCCGCGGUAACACGUAAGGGGCAAGCGUUGUUCGGAUUCAUUGGGCGUAAAGGGCAUGUAGGCGGUAUAGCAAGUCUGGUGUGAAAGAGCUCGGCUUAACCGAGGGACCGCGCUGGAAACUGCUAAACUAGAGUAUAGGAAGGGAAGCUAGAAUUCCUAGUGUAGGGGUGAAAUCUGUAGAUAUUAGGAAGAAUACCGGUGGCGAAGGCGAGCUUCUGGCCAUAUACUGACGCUGAUAUGCGAAAGCGUGGGGAGCGAACAGGAUUAGAUACCCCAGUAGUC